Molecule: long non-coding RNA, 240 nt
Filed under: Capsicum annuum
Lineage: Eukaryota; Viridiplantae; Streptophyta; Magnoliopsida; Solanales; Solanaceae
Description: long non-coding RNA (CANN_LNC001140)
Source: RNAcentral
CUCAUUCUAAGCACUUUAUGCAUACUUUUCAUCAAUUCUCUCUCAAAGAAAACCCUAGAUCUCAAAACUUACUCUCCCAAGAAAUAAAAUUUCCUUCAUUUUUCUUCUAAGAUAACUCAAGAUUAAGGAUUCCCAAUUUAAGAACUUCAAGAAUUCAUCUUCAAAAGAACAAAUAGAAAUCCAAAAUCAAGUGUUCUUAUCAAUUUCAUCAAUUAAGGUUUGUGGGAUUUAUGAGCAAGG